Molecule: transfer RNA, 70 nt
Filed under: Halorientalis pallida
Lineage: Archaea; Methanobacteriati; Methanobacteriota; Halobacteria; Halobacteriales; Haloarculaceae
Description: Halorientalis sp. F13-25 tRNA-Thr
Source: RNAcentral
CCCGAGAGUGUCGCGGUAAAGCGCGUCCUUGGUAAGGACGAGACCCCGGAUUCAAAUUCCGGCCUAGGCU